GACGAACGCUGGCGGCGUGCCUAAUACAUGCAAGUCGAACGCAGUGGGGACGGGUGAGUAACACGUGGGUAACCUCCCAUCAGAGGGGAUAACACUUGGAAACAGGUGCUAAACCGAUACUGAUGGAUGGACCCGCGGUGCAUUAGGUAGUUGGUGAGGUAACGGCUCACCAAGGCCACGAUGCAUAGCGGACCUGAGAUGGUGAUCGGGACAACUGGGCCUGAUACACGGCCCAGACGCCUACGGGAGUCAGCAGUAGGGAAUGUUGGGCAAUGGACGAAAGUCUGACCUAGCAACGCCGCGUGAGUGAAGAAGGUUUGCGGAUCGUAAAACUCUGUUGUUAGAGAAGCGGUAUCUAACCAGAAAGCCACGGCUAACUACGGGCCAGCAGCCGCGGUAAUUC
RNAcentral lists this ribosomal RNA (403 nucleotides) under uncultured bacterium. Its description in RNAcentral is "partial 16S ribosomal RNA". It matches the Rfam family "Bacterial small subunit ribosomal RNA", at positions 28 to 526 of the family's 1533-position model. The record is from RNAcentral.